UACGUAGGUGGCGAGCGUUGUCCGGAUUUACUGGGCGUAAAGGGCGUGCAGGCGGUUUGUUAAGUGCAGGGUGAAAGCUCCCGGCUCAACUGGGCGGGGUCGGCGGAUACGGCCGAGCUGGAGCAAGCUAGGGGGUAAUGGAAUUCCCGGUGUAGUGGUGGAAUGCGUAGAUAUCGGGAGGAACACCAGUGGCGAAGGCGGUUACCUGGAGCUUUGCUGACGCUGAUGCGCGAAAGCGUGGGGAGCGAUCCGG
RNAcentral lists this ribosomal RNA (253 nucleotides) under uncultured bacterium. RNAcentral's name for it is "partial 16S ribosomal RNA". It matches the Rfam family "Bacterial small subunit ribosomal RNA", at positions 524 to 776 of the family's 1533-position model. The record is from RNAcentral.